This 342-nucleotide ribosomal RNA is filed under the name Pheidole sp. a RA0422. Its description in RNAcentral is "partial 12S ribosomal RNA". Lineage: Eukaryota; Metazoa; Arthropoda; Insecta; Hymenoptera; Formicidae. The record is from RNAcentral.
UUAUAUAUCUAAAAUUAAUUAAUAAGAAAUUAAAUGAAAACAUUAAAUUUAAAAAAUUUGGCGGUAUUUUAAAUAGUUAGAGGAAUUUGUUAAGUAAAUGAUAAUCCACGAGUAGAUGGUCUUAAUAAAAUUUUUAUGUAUUGUUGUAUGAAAAUUAUUUUAUAAAAAUAAUAAUUAAUAUAUUUAAUUUAAUUUUAAUUCAAAUCAAAAUGUAGAAUAGUUAAGAUAGUAUGAAUUACAGUUUAAUUUAAUAAUGGAGUUAUUUUUUUAAUUAAAAUAGUGAAAUAGGAUUUAAAAGUAAAUUUAAAUAAAUUUUUAAAUUGAAAUAUAAAUUAAAAUAUG